RNAcentral lists this ribosomal RNA (616 nucleotides) under uncultured Legionella sp. RNAcentral's name for it is "bacterial SSU rRNA". It matches the Rfam family "Bacterial small subunit ribosomal RNA", at positions 242 to 849 of the family's 1533-position model. The record is from RNAcentral. Lineage: Bacteria; Pseudomonadati; Pseudomonadota; Gammaproteobacteria; Legionellales; Legionellaceae.
UAGCUAGUUGGUGUGGUAAAGGCAUACCAAGGCGACGAUCGGUAGCUGGUCUGAGAGGAUGACCAGCCACACUGGGACUGAGACACGGCCCAGACUCCUACGGGAGGCAGCAGUGGGGAAUAUUGGACAAUGGGGGGAACCCUGAUCCAGCAAUGCCGCGUGUGUGAAGAAGGCCUGAGGGUUGUAAAGCACUUUCAGUGGGGAGGAGGGCUGAUAGGUUAAGAGCUAAUUAGUUGGACGUUACCUACAGAAGAAGCACCGGCUAACUCCGUGCCAGCAGCCGCGGUAAUACGGAGGGUGCGAGCGUUAAUCGGAAUUACUGGGCGUAAAGGGUGCGUAGGUGGUUGUAUAAGUUAUCUGUGAAAUCCCUAGGCUUAACCUAGGAAGGUCAGAUAAGACUGUAUGACUCGAGUAUAGGAGAGGGUAGUGGAAUUUCCGGUGUAGCGGUGAAAUGCGUAGAGAUCGGAAGGAACACCAGUGGCGAAGGCGUCUACCUGGCCUAAUACUGACACUGAGGCACGAAAGCGUGGGUAGCAAACAGGAUUAGAUACCCUGGUAGUCCACGCUGUAAACGAUGUCAACUAGCUGUUGCUCUUAUGAAGAAGGGUAGUGGCGC